GGAGUUGCUGACUGUGGAGAGGGCACACAGUCGGUUGUUGCUGUUCCAGUUGACACACCUGCCCCACAAGUCAACUCAGACACAGCCCCUGCCAUCAGGUCACCAGGAACUCUUGUGUGUAGGGGCAGCGGCCCUACCACUAAGACCUUUGUGCUUCGGUCUGUGUUGAAAAAGCCUGGCAGGCUGUUUGCAGAGAACAUAAAGGAAUACAACCUUUGUGAUGACGGGGCUCAUCUAAUCCCAGACCCUUCGAACUGUUGCAAAGAACAAAGAGCAGGUAGGGAAAACUGUAAAACACCAGACUUUGUGAAUCUGAAGAAGAGGAAAAGAGUUACUUUUGGAGAGGACUUAAGCCCUGAAGUGUUUGAUGAAUCUUUACCAGCCAAUACUCCAUUGUGUAAAGGAGGAACACCUGUCUGUCAAAGGAACAUAAAUGCUGCCAGUCCCCUGCAGUCUCCUGUUCAUGAGCCGUUACUUCAGCCAAAUUUUGAUGACAAUGAGGAGAAUCUUGAAAACAUAGAACCAGCUCAUGUAUCAUUUGCAAUCCUGAGUCCUAGUAAAUCUUCACUCUCUGAGACCCUUCCAGG
This is a long non-coding RNA of Alexandromys fortis (reed vole), 587 nucleotides long. RefSeq lists it as uncharacterized. The record is from RefSeq and is a predicted model, not a curated record. The transcript has 4 exons. NCBI's taxonomy places the organism in Eukaryota, Metazoa, Chordata, Mammalia, Rodentia, Cricetidae.